AACCUACGGGAGGCAGCAGUGAGGAAUAUUGGUCAAUGGGCUUACGCCUGAACCAGCCAAGUCGCGUGAGGGAAGACUGCCCUAUGGGUUGUAAACCUCUUUUGUCAGGGAGCAAUUGGCGCUACGUGUAGCGUUAUCGAGAGUACCUGAAGAAAAAGCAUCGGCUAACUCCGUGCCAGCAGCCGCGGUAAUACAUAGGGGGCAAGCGUUAUCCGGAAUUAUUGGGUGUAAAGGGUGCGUAGACGGAAGAACAAGUUGGUUGUGAAAUCCCUCGGCUCAACUGAGGAACUGCAACCAAAACUAUU
This 305-nucleotide ribosomal RNA is filed under the name uncultured bacterium. RNAcentral's name for it is "bacterial SSU rRNA". It matches the Rfam family "Bacterial small subunit ribosomal RNA", at positions 335 to 637 of the family's 1533-position model. The record is from RNAcentral.